CCCGUGCAGUACCCCUCAAACCGGUUCUCUCUUCUCUCCCACAGGAAGCUACGUCGACUAUUUCUCCUCGUCCCUGUACCAGGCCCUGGCGGACAUGCUGGAAACUCCGGAACCCUAACCCGGCCGCGCGGCUGCGGCGCAGACGUCCCUCCCUGCCCCUCCAGCCCCUCCCCACGAGCCAUAUUUAUUUCUCUGAAUAAACGUGACCCCCCAAAACCUCAUUGUCAGGCGUAGGGUCUGGCUUCCCGGGGCACCGAGGGACUCGGGACUCGUGGGUCAGAGGACGCGGAGCCCGUGCUUUCGGGGCCUCGGGGUGGGUGGUCGGUUGCAGGUCCUGAUAAAUAAAUCAGUCGACACGGGCGCGUUUUGAAACA
This is a long non-coding RNA of Myotis brandtii (Brandt's bat), 374 nucleotides long. RefSeq lists it as uncharacterized. Lineage: Eukaryota; Metazoa; Chordata; Mammalia; Chiroptera; Vespertilionidae. The record is from RefSeq and is a predicted model, not a curated record. The transcript has 2 exons.